This 486-nucleotide ribosomal RNA is filed under the name uncultured bacterium. Its description in RNAcentral is "partial 16S ribosomal RNA". It matches the Rfam family "Bacterial small subunit ribosomal RNA", at positions 28 to 507 of the family's 1533-position model. The record is from RNAcentral.
GAUGAACGCUGGCGGCGUGCCUAAUACAUGCAAGUCGAACGCUGGAAAUCUAGCUUGCUAGAUUGAAGGAGUGGCGAACGGGUGAGUAAUACAUAGGCAACCUACCCACGAAGACUGGGAUAAUCUCUGGAAACGGGGACUAAUACCGGAUAGGUAAUCGGAAGGCAUCUUCUGAUUAUUAAAGGUUAAAAACACUGGUGGAUGGGCUUAUGGCGCAUUAGUUAGUUGGUGAGGUAACGGCCCACCAAGACGAUGAUGCGUAGCCGGCCUGAGAGGGUGAACGGCCACAUUGGGACUGAGACACGGCCCAGACUCCUACGGGAGGCAGCAGUAGGGAAUUUUCGGCAAUGGGGGAAACCCUGACCGAGCAACGCCGCGUGAGUGAUGACGGCCUUCGGGUUGUAAAGCUCUGUUGUAAGGGAAGAACGGUAGAUAGAGAAUAUCUAAAUGACGGUACCUUACCAGAAAGCCACGGCUAACUACGUG